CAACAGGUCUUCAAUGUAGCGAGAAAUUCCCGCACCCGGAGGCGUCCUUCAGCUGGCCCCUAAACAAAUAUAUACUAGUUCAGUGAUAAUGAACGCCAUACUAAUUUCCAAAUUGUACACAAGAAACUAAAAUUAAAAUAAUACAAGACUAACAAAGGCCAGAGGCUCCUGACUUGGGACAGGCGUAAAAAUGCGGCGGGGUUAAACAUGUUUGUGAGAUCUCAACCCUCCCCCUAUACCUCUAGCCAAUGUAGAAAAGUAAACGCAUAACAAUACGCACAUUAAAAUUCAGUCGAAGAGAUGUCCGAGUCUGAUGUCAGAAGAUGUAACCAAAGAAAAUAAACAAAAUGACAAUAAUACAUAAAUAACAACAGACUACUAGCAGUUAACU
Molecule: long non-coding RNA, 391 nt
Filed under: Mytilus galloprovincialis (Mediterranean mussel)
Lineage: Eukaryota; Metazoa; Mollusca; Bivalvia; Mytilida; Mytilidae
Source: RNAcentral